This 685-nucleotide ribosomal RNA is filed under the name Streptomyces sp. MC_MAS_8b. RNAcentral describes it as "bacterial SSU rRNA". It matches the Rfam family "Bacterial small subunit ribosomal RNA", at positions 98 to 797 of the family's 1533-position model. The record is from RNAcentral. RNAcentral also lists the same sequence under 1 other name. Lineage: Bacteria; Bacillati; Actinomycetota; Actinomycetes; Kitasatosporales; Streptomycetaceae.
GCGAACGGGUGAGUAACACGUGGGCAAUCUGCCCUUCACUCUGGGACAAGCCCUGGAAACGGGGUCUAAUACCGGAUACCACUCCGCAAGGCAUCUUGUGGGGUUGAAAGCUCCGGCGGUGAAGGAUGAGCCCGCGGCCUAUCAGCUUGUUGGUGAGGUAGUGGCUCACCAAGGCGACGACGGGUAGCCGGCCUGAGAGGGCGACCGGCCACACUGGGACUGAGACACGGCCCAGACUCCUACGGGAGGCAGCAGUGGGGAAUAUUGCACAAUGGGCGAAAGCCUGAUGCAGCGACGCCGCGUGAGGGAUGACGGCCUUCGGGUUGUAAACCUCUUUCAGCAGGGAAGAAGCGAAAGUGACGGUACCUGCAGAAGAAGCGCCGGCUAACUACGUGCCAGCAGCCGCGGUAAUACGUAGGGCGCAAGCGUUGUCCGGAAUUAUUGGGCGUAAAGAGCUCGUAGGCGGCUUGUCACGUCGGGUGUGAAAGACCGGGGCUUAACCCCGGUUCUGCAUUCGAUACGGGCUAGCUAGAGUGUGGUAGGGGAGAUCGGAAUUCCUGGUGUAGCGGUGAAAUGCGCAGAUAUCAGGAGGAACACCGGUGGCGAAGGCGGAUCUCUGGGCCAUUACUGACGCUGAGGAGCGAAAGCGUGGGGAGCGAACAGGAUUAGAUACCCUGGUAGUCCA